CCUACGGGUGGCUGCAGUGAGGAAUAUUGGUCAAUGGACGAGAGUCUGAACCAGCCAAGUAGCGUGAAGGAUGACUGCCCUAUGGGUUGUAAACUUCUUUUAUAUGGGAAUAAACUGUUCCACGUGUGGGAUUUUGUAUGUACCAUAUGAAUAAGGAUCGGCUAACUCCGUGCCAGCAGCCGCGGUAAUACGGAGGAUCCGCGCGUUAUCCGGAUUUAUUGGGUUUAAAGGGAGCGUAGGUGGAUUGGUAAGUCAGUUGUGAAAGUUUGCGGCUCAACCGUAAAAGUGCAGUUGAAACUGGCAGUCUUGAGUACAGUAGAGGUGGGCGGAAUUCGUGGUGUAGCGGUGAAAUGCUUAGAUAUCACGAAGAACUCCGAUUGCGAAGGCAGUUCACUGGACUGCAACUGACACUGAGGCUCGAAAGUGUGGGUAUCAAACAGGAUUAGAUACCCGUGUAGUC
RNAcentral lists this ribosomal RNA (460 nucleotides) under uncultured bacterium. Its description in RNAcentral is "partial 16S ribosomal RNA". It matches the Rfam family "Bacterial small subunit ribosomal RNA", at positions 338 to 795 of the family's 1533-position model. The record is from RNAcentral.